Molecule: transfer RNA, 69 nt
Filed under: Ictidomys tridecemlineatus (thirteen-lined ground squirrel)
Lineage: Eukaryota; Metazoa; Chordata; Mammalia; Rodentia; Sciuridae
Description: Spermophilus tridecemlineatus (thirteen-lined ground squirrel) tRNA
Rfam family: tRNA
About the family: Transfer RNA (tRNA) molecules are approximately 80 nucleotides in length. Their secondary structure includes four short double-helical elements and three loops (D, anti-codon, and T loops).
Source: Rfam by way of RNAcentral
GGGGCUGUAGCUCAGCGGUAGAGCACUUGCCUGGCAUGUGUGAGGCACUGGGUUUGAUUCUCAGCACCA